UAAGUGUGUGACUCAAUGACGUUUUUAUUAAUUUGAAAAGUGGAAAAUGAAAUUUAAAGCUUGUUAAAAUAGUUAAGUGACGUGCAUCAACCACCUGCUGGCAGAACUGGAAUUUCACAAGCACAUUGCACAAAAAAUUGCCCAGAAAAAGAUAAUGGGGAGGGCAU
This is a long non-coding RNA of Anoplophora glabripennis (Asian longhorned beetle), 167 nucleotides long. RefSeq lists it as uncharacterized. NCBI's taxonomy places the organism in Eukaryota, Metazoa, Arthropoda, Insecta, Coleoptera, Cerambycidae. The transcript has 2 exons. The record is from RefSeq and is a predicted model, not a curated record.